UAGGCCAGCUACUGCGUCUUCCACUUCGUACGAAAAUUCGUAAUUCACCGGAUCCUGCGAAAGCGAGAGAAAAAAAAAAACACGAAAAAAGUGCAUUGGGUGAGCAUGGAAAUACGUGUGUCAGUGUAAAAAAAGAAAGAAAAUAAUUCCUUCGACGUAAGAAAAGAAACAUGUACUACUUACACCGGCCCAUUCGUCUGGAUGGCCACUGGGAGCUGGUCGCGGUCCAGUCCCUGCAGGUGGAAGAUAGGCAGGUCCUUGAGGUUCGCUCAAAAUUCCUACCGAUAUCAUCGUUAACAGGAGUGCCUGUGCCGGAAGAGAUCUUUUACAUUUUUUUUCAAUUGUUCGAGUAGUAACUGGUAAAAAACAAUCCAUUGAGAAUUAGGCGUUUGAAAACAUUUACAGAAGUGUAAGAAUUAUGUACUCUGUUGCAGCAGGACUAUGAACUUUAUUACUUUUAUUAGUAAUACAGUUAACAAGAAAAGACAA
Molecule: long non-coding RNA, 489 nt
Organism: Frieseomelitta varia
Lineage: Eukaryota; Metazoa; Arthropoda; Insecta; Hymenoptera; Apidae
Exons: 2
Source: RefSeq, a predicted model, not a curated record